GACGAACGCUGGCGGCGUGCCUAAUACAUGCCAGUAGAACGCUGAAGGAGGAGCUUGCUUCUCUGGAUGAGUUGCGAACGGGUGAGUAACGCGUAGGUAACCUGCCUGGUAGCGGGGGAUAACUAUUGGAAACGAUAGCUAAUACCGCAUAAUAUUGACUAUUGCAUGAUAGUCAGUUGAAAGGUGCAACUGCACCACUACCAGAUGGACCUGCGUUGUAUUAGCUAGUUGGUGGGGUAACGGCUCACCAAGGCGACGAUACAUAGCCGACCUGAGAGGGUGAUCGGCCACACUGGGACUGAGACACGGCCCAGACGCCUACGGGAGGCAGCAGUAGGGAAUCGUCGGCAAUGGACGGAAGUCUGACCGAGCAACGCCGCGGGAGUGAAGAAGGUUUUCGGAUCGUAAAGCUCUGUUGUAAGAGAAGAACGAGUGUGAGAGUGGAAAGCUCACACUGUGACGGUAUCUUAACAGAAAGGGACGGCUAACUACGUG
Molecule: ribosomal RNA, 495 nt
Filed under: uncultured bacterium
Lineage: Bacteria
Description: partial 16S ribosomal RNA
Rfam family: Bacterial small subunit ribosomal RNA
Source: RNAcentral